UAUUGAUAUAGUUACAAAUAGGCUGAUAGCACAGGAUUGACACGCGGGACGUACGAAUGGGAUAUCCACCUGCCUCAUAAGCUGCCUAGCCCAUUGCCGACAUUGGUAUCGAAUGUUUAAACACAUAUAUAAAAUAUUAAAUAUAGAUAUAGUUACAAAUAGGCUAGUAGCAUAGGAUUGCCAUGUGGGAUGUAUGAAUGGGAUGUCCACCUGCCCCGGAAGCUGGCCCAUUGCCGACACUGGCAGGAUUCCAUCGUUGCUUUUCCUUAAAGAGACGCACGUUUUCUGUUUUUCCCGAAUCGCAAUACACGGUACUAUACUUGACACUAGCUGCCUCCAUCCAAAAGAAUAGCACGAAAGCGACAAUAUAUUAUACAUAAAAUAUACUUUCGAAUAGCACCAAAGCACGUCUGAAUUGAUCAGGGACCUCCAGUGACAACGUGACAUCGACUCUGACAACAAACUUAUUAUCUCGUACACCGUUAACUUAAUCGAGCAGGCAUCCAUGUUCUGCAGCUCUGGGUGCGCAGUUCACCUACAACAACUGAAAUGCUACGUAGCGUAGACACAACCACAACAGCGAGCAGUACACAUUCUGCAACUCUGGGUUCGCAGCUUACAUAGAACAUAACAACAGAAAUGCUAGUAUAGCUGUAGACACAACACCACAACAGUCAACAGCACACGUUUUUAUUCCGACGAAGACGAAGAUCCUCUACUUCUAGGCUGAAUCAACGGUCUAGAAGCAGAGCCACAACCAUUCUUAUUCCCAAGAGGCGAGAGCAC
Molecule: long non-coding RNA, 786 nt
Filed under: Sorghum bicolor (sorghum)
Lineage: Eukaryota; Viridiplantae; Streptophyta; Magnoliopsida; Poales; Poaceae
Description: long non-coding RNA (SBIC_LNC016763)
Source: RNAcentral